AGAGUUUGAUCAUGGCUCAGGAUGAACGCUGGCGGCGUGCCUAAAACAUGCAAGUCGAACGGUGGUAGCAAUACUACAGUGGCGAACGGCGGAGUAAUACGUGAACAACGUGCCCCAAAGACUGGGAUAGUCACUGGAAACGGUGGGUAAUACCGGAUGUGGCGCUUUUCUCUCCUGGGAGAAGCGUUAAAUGGUUUUUCGCUUUGGGAGCGGUUCACGGCCUAUCAGGUAGUUGGUGGGGUAAUGGCCUACCAAGCCGACGACGGGUAGCGGGUCUGAGAGGAUGAUCCGCUCGAGUGGGACUGAGACACGGCCCACACACCUACGGGUGGCAGCAGUUGGGAAUCUUGCACAAUGGGGGAAACCCUGAUGCAGCGACGCCGCGUGGAGGAUGAAGGGUCUAGGCCUGUAAACUCCUUUUAUGGGGAAAGACUUAGGACGGUACCCCAUGAAUAAGGACCGGCUAACUACGUGCCAGCAGCCGCGGUAAGACGUAGGGUCCAAGCGUUAUCCGGAUUUACUGGGCGUAAAGCGCGCGUAGGCGGUCUGUUAAGUGCACAAGUGAAAGCUCCGGGCUCAACUCGGAAAUUGCUUUGCAUACUGGCAGGCUGGAGGGACGCAGAGGUCUGUGGAAUUCCUGGUGUAACGGUGAAAUGUGUUGAUAUCAGGAGGAACACCCAUGGCGAAGGCAGCAGACUGGGCGUUUCCUGACGCUGAGGCGCGAAAGCGUGGGUAGCAAACAGGAUUAGAUACCCUGGUAGUCCACGCCCUAAACGAUGGAUACUAGGCGUAGGAGGUAUCGACCCCUCCUGUGCCGCAGCAAACGCAUUAAGUAUCCCGCCUGGGGAGUACGGCCGCAAGGUUGAAACUCAAAUGAAUUGACGGGGACCCGCACAAGCGGUGGAGCAUGUGGUUUAAUUCGAAACAACGCGCAGAACCUUACCAGCCCUUGACAUCCCGAUCGCGGUUACCAGAGAUGGUAUCCUUCAGUUAGGCUGGAUCGGUGACAGGUGCUGCAUGGCUGUCGUCAGCUCGUGUCGUGAGAUGUUGGGUUAAGUCCCGCAACGAGCGCAACCCUCGCCCUUAGUUGCCAUCAUUCAGUUGGGCACUCUAAGGGGACUGCCGGUGAUAAGCCGAGAGGAAGGUGGGGAUGACGUCAAGUCCUCAUGGCCCUUACGGGCUGGGCUACACACGUGCUACAAUGGUGGUGACAGUGGGCAGCGAGACCGCGAGGUCGAGCUAAUCUCCAAAAGCCAUCUCAGUUCGGAUUGCACUCUGCAACUCGAGUGCAUGAAGUUGGAAUCGCUAGUAAUCGUGGAUCAGAAUGCCACGGUGAAUACGUUCCCGGGCCUUGUACACACCGCCCGUCACACCAUGGGAGUUGGUUUUACCCGAAGGUGCUGUGCUAACCGCAAGGAGGCAGGCAACCACGGUAGGGUCAGCGACUGGGGUGAAGUCGUAACAAGGUA
This 1469-nucleotide ribosomal RNA is filed under the name metagenome. Its description in RNAcentral is "bacterial SSU rRNA". It matches the Rfam family "Bacterial small subunit ribosomal RNA". The record is from RNAcentral.